CCUGUUUACAGUGGGCACCUUUGUAGGAAAACAGAUUCCUUUGCCUUUAUGUGAGUUAUGUGCCUCCGUGUGUGCAGCGGACCCCUCUACUACCCCACUUUCCUUCUCAGGGAAAAUCUCUCCGCUGGGCUGGAAGAGGCAGGUCUAGGCAGUGCCGUGUCUCCUCCUCCUCGAUGCUGGUUUACAGGUGUGCCAGGGAUACGUGGCCAGCGGUGUGGCUGCUGACAGACCUCAGCCCUCAGGACUGUGCAGCAAGUGCUCUUAGCUGUGGAGCCAUCACUCGCUCCAAUCCCUAGAGAGCGAUAUCGGACUCAUUUCUUAGCCUCAGUACUAAUCAACUUUCAUUUGUUCAUAUGAUUAUCCAGAGCGUGUAGGGUCUUCUUUGGUGCACAGAAU
This 396-nucleotide long non-coding RNA is filed under the name Rattus norvegicus (Norway rat). RNAcentral describes it as "long non-coding RNA NONRATT008505". The record is from RNAcentral. Lineage: Eukaryota; Metazoa; Chordata; Mammalia; Rodentia; Muridae.